AUACUCAGCUGGCAGGAGAGAUACCAUGAUCACGAAGGUGAUUUCUCCAGGGCGAGGUUCAUCCAUUUCACCUGGAUGUGCUGACCCCUGUGAUUUCCUCACAAGUGGGAAACUCGACUGCAUAAUUUGUGCUAGUGGGGGACUAUGUCUGUGCUUUCCUCUG
Small nuclear RNA from Trichechus manatus latirostris (Florida manatee), 163 nucleotides. RefSeq annotates it as U1 spliceosomal RNA. The record is from RefSeq and is a predicted model, not a curated record. The transcript has a single exon. NCBI's taxonomy places the organism in Eukaryota, Metazoa, Chordata, Mammalia, Sirenia, Trichechidae.